RNAcentral lists this ribosomal RNA (253 nucleotides) under uncultured bacterium. RNAcentral describes it as "partial 16S ribosomal RNA". It matches the Rfam family "Bacterial small subunit ribosomal RNA", at positions 524 to 776 of the family's 1533-position model. The record is from RNAcentral.
UACGUAGGCAGCGAGCGUUGUUCGGAGUUACUGGGCGUAAAGCGUGCGUAGGCGGUGGUCCAAGUCUGGUGUGAAAUCUCCCGGCUCAACCGGGAGGGUGCGCCGGAAACUGGGCCGCUGGAGUGCCGGAGAGGCAAGCGGAAUUCCUGGUGUAGCGGUGAAAUGCGUAGAUAUCAGGAGGAACACCCGUGGUGUAGACGGCUUGCUGGACGGCAACUGACGCUGAGGCACGAAAGCGUGGGGAGCAAACAGG